RNAcentral lists this unclassified non-coding RNA (267 nucleotides) under Hevea brasiliensis (rubber tree). The record is from RNAcentral. Lineage: Eukaryota; Viridiplantae; Streptophyta; Magnoliopsida; Malpighiales; Euphorbiaceae.
GGAGAGAAAAAAAAUCCAUUUUUGCACAAAGUAAAUAAUCCUCUCUUUAUAUUCGAAAGGAAAAGUCAAAAAUUUACUCUAUUUAUCUGCGAUAAGCCUCUCUCUGGUUAGGGUUUUCUGUGUCUCUGAUUUUUCUUUUCAUUUCAGCUUCUGGGUUGUGCUCAAUUAGUUUUAGCAGCAACUCUUUACUCGGGUUUUGCUCUACUGGGUUUGGUUGGUUUGGAUGGCUUUGGGUGUUUUGUGUUCUUAGCUCAAAGACAGGGCUUU